AAGAAACAUUUUGAACUAUCUGGCUGUGAGGUCAUGCUGGUGACCUCACAAAUGGGAAUUCUGAUGUGUGCCUGCCUCUCUAGCCUUAUCCCUUUAAAGAAAAAAAGAGAAGGUUCUAUAUUACUGAACCUAGAGCUGAUGCCAAAGUAUAUGUGCUUUGUCAAGACAUCCUGCUCCCACCAGACAGGAGCAUCUGCUGCUGCUGAGGCAGAGCAACACAGAAAAUUAGGCUACAGCGAAGAACCUGAAAACUGAGUAGGAAGGUAAUCACAAGCUGAAAAUAACUGCUGCCCUUGCCCUGCCUCCUCUGAUACACUGAGAAGCCACCAGCCCUAAUAUUUACUGUUUACCAAGCCAGUGGAGUAAAGACGAAAAUGUGGAACAAG
Long non-coding RNA from Peromyscus leucopus (white-footed mouse), 386 nucleotides. RefSeq lists it as uncharacterized. NCBI's taxonomy places the organism in Eukaryota, Metazoa, Chordata, Mammalia, Rodentia, Cricetidae. The record is from RefSeq and is a predicted model, not a curated record. The transcript has 3 exons.